GAUGAACGCUAGCGGCAGGCCUAAUACAUGCAAGUCGGACGGGAUUCAGGAGCUUGCUUCUGAUGAGAGUGGCGCACGGGUGCGUAACACGUAUGUAACCUACCUUUAUCAGGGGGAUAGCCUCUCGAAAGAGAGAUUAAGCCCGCAUAAAAUCACAGCACAGCAUUGUGUAAUGAUCAAAUAUUUAUAGGAUAAAGAUGGGCAUGCGGAACAUUAGCUAGAUGGCGGGGUAACGGCCCACCAUGGCGACGAUGUUUAGGGGAUCUGAGAGGAUGGCCCCCCACACUGGUACUGAGACACGGACCAGACUCCUACGGGAGGCAGCAGUAAGGAACAUUAGUCAAUGGGCGGAAGCCUGAACCAGCCAUGCCGCGUGCAGGAAGACGGCCCUACGGGUUGUAAACUGCUUUUAUACGGGAAUAAACCCAGAUACGUGUAUCUGGCUGAAUGUACUGUAAGAAUAAGGAUCGGCUAACUCCGU
This 481-nucleotide ribosomal RNA is filed under the name uncultured bacterium. Its description in RNAcentral is "partial 16S ribosomal RNA". It matches the Rfam family "Bacterial small subunit ribosomal RNA", at positions 28 to 506 of the family's 1533-position model. The record is from RNAcentral.